This 264-nucleotide small nuclear RNA is filed under the name Neotoma lepida (desert woodrat). RNAcentral's name for it is "7SK RNA". It matches the Rfam family "7SK RNA". Rfam says of the family: 7SK was discovered as an abundant small nuclear RNA in the mid-70s but a possible function has only recently been suggested. Two independent studies have found that 7SK RNA binds the CDK9/cyclin T complex (known as elongation factor P-TEFb). P-TEFb activates transcription by phosphorylating the C-terminal domain of RNA polymerase II. Lineage: Eukaryota; Metazoa; Chordata; Mammalia; Rodentia; Cricetidae. The record is from Rfam by way of RNAcentral.
UGGAGUGGGGAGUGGCACCUAGCAACAGCAUCUGUCACUCCACUNAUCACCAGGGUUGAUUAGGCUGAUAAAGUUGGCUAGGAAGGGACACCUUCCUCCGUCACCAUUGAAUGCAUGUCCCUCCUAAAGCUUCAUGCUAGGUCGGAAAGAUAAGAGAACCUUUCUUAGCCAAUGGUCUGAGUAGCUGUGCUCCCCUAAUAGAAUCUCCAAACAGGCUCUUAACCUCAGCGCUGGUGACACUUUGGGUCAGAUAAUCCNUUGCUG